Molecule: long non-coding RNA, 3923 nt
Filed under: Malus domestica (apple)
Lineage: Eukaryota; Viridiplantae; Streptophyta; Magnoliopsida; Rosales; Rosaceae
Description: long non-coding RNA (MDOM_LNC007855)
Source: RNAcentral
AGCCAGGCAGUUCAAGAGUUCGUUGGCCACCAUGUCUUCAGCUUCGUUAGUUAAGAGCUUCAACCUCACCUCCUCCGCCCUCUCUCGUGCCACCAGCAGGAAACCUAGUUGUAUUUCUGCCAGGAUCAGCACUUCUUCUUCUUCUAGAUCUCCUCCUCCAAACCUCAUCCAAAACAAGCCUGUUACCUCCGUUCCUGCUAUCACUCGGGUACUCUCUAGAUCCUUCAACUCAUCAUGUGUACAUUAGUUUCAAGUAGUGUAUAUGACAAUGUGACUGCCCUAGGCUCUGCACUCUGGCUACAUCGAAAACCUGACGAUAGUCACUGACACUAUCAGUUUCAAAGAGCGGGAUGUGUAAAAGGUCUACUAGCUGGUUGCAUGCAUGUAAAUAUGACGAUACAACCACUAUUAUGCCUUUUACCUAUCCCAUUCUGUGCCACUAAGUGCCCGUGAUUAUUGUCAGUUUCUUUUGCAGUGGCUGCGGUUGUCUGAAAAUAUAUGUAUUGCAGCUUCAUAAAUAUUUACGGCCCUGGUAGCUCUUUGGUUCACGUGGUGAAACCGGGAUAGGUAGAGAACUCUACUGGUGUACAAUACCAGACUUGAACACGUUUGAUUUUACAUGUUCAUUAUCAUCGAUGAUUAAUCAGUGUUCUUAUCACACAACUAAUCCUCUGCUUAUCGGGAUGACGUGCACGCUGUUCAUUGAUUCAACAUCCUUUAAAAAUGACACAUGUAUGGUUUGAAUCUAAGUAAAUAUAAAAGAUAAAUGACACAUGUAUGGUACUAAUUUUCCCUAAUCGAUAUUUAGGUGAAAUAAAAAGGUAUAAAGAAAGAAGUACAUGUUAACAAAUUAAAUGUUAACAUAUUAUUUGCGUGUGUGAACAAUAAUUAGAAAGAAGAAAUGGCAAAGGAGUACGAAGAGGCCAUUGCAUCUCUCCAGAAACUUCUCAGUGAGAAGGAGGAGCUGAGAGUUGAAGCGGCUGCGAAGGUGGAGCAGGUUACAGCCGAGCUUGCGACAGCCGAGGCCAGCGGCGCCACCAAGCCUUAUGACGCCGCUGAGAGGCUCAAGAGCGGCUUCAUUCACUUCAAGAAGGAGAAAUACGAGUAUGCUCUCUUUUUACUAAAUAGAAGAUUAAAUGAGAUUAGCUUCCGACUCACAGUCAUAUAUAUAUAUAUAUAUAUAUGAAGUUGAGGACAAAUUAAUUCGAUACUAUGUUUUUGUAUCACAUUUUUAUACCAUCUUAGGUGAUAUUUGAUUUGGACAACCACAUCAUUUGAAUUAAUUAGAUUUUUAAAUUUAGUUCAUUAUUUAAUAAACUAAUAAUUAAAAAAAACUAGUUAAUUAAAUGAUGAUUGUGAUAUAUGAGGAGUCUUUCUCCUUCAUUUCCUUGGGUUUUGUAAAUUUUUCAAAUGAUGUGGCUGUACACAUUAGAUGUCACCUAAGAUGGUAUAAAAAUAUAAUAUAAAAACAUGGUAUGAAUAUCAUUGCUCGAUUAAUUAUAACCAUUUUCUUCCUUAAUUUAACAGCAAGAAUCCAGCUCUGUACGGUGAACUUGCCAAAGGACAAUGGCCCAAGUUUAUGAUGUUUGCAUGCUCGGAUUCUCGAGUUUGCCCAUCACAUGUUCUGGAUAUGCAGCCGGGAGAGGCUUUUGUUGUCCGCACAGUUGCUAACUUGGUCCCACCCUAUGAUAAGGUUUACAUAUUUCCUCAGACUUUUUAUGCGUUCUGUCACAACAAAACGUGGCUCUUUGUGUGGGAGGUAGAUUCUGCCCCUGGGCCAUAUCCAUCUCCUUCUAUUAUAUGUGAUCACGGUUAAGCCACGUUAACAUUUUAUAAUAAUUUUUUUAUAAACAUAAUAAGACAAAAAGUAAUAAGAAUAUAAAAUUUUGAUGUGACUUAACCGUAAUCGUACAAAUAGAAAAUGAUGGGAAGAGCACCCAAACAGGAGAGCAGACAAUCUGCCUCCUUUUGUUUGUCCCUAUAUAUAUAUAUAUAUAUAAUAUUAAACGAGAUUUUAAUUUAAUUUUUUUCUGUGUAUGUGUUAAUAGGUUAAAUACGCUGGGACAGGGGCGGCCAUUGAGUAUGCUGUCUUGCAUCUCAAGGUAAUUAAUCCAUGCAUUUUGGUUUUGUUUCUUAGUUUUGUAAUAAUUAAUCGUAUUUAGCUAAAUGCUGUUUUCAUUGUAAUAUUAAUCUUGUGUAUGUAAUAUAUGUAUUUAUAGGUUUCAUACAUAGUGGUGAUUGGGCACAGUGCCUGUGGAGGAAUCAAGGCACUCUUGUCUAUUCCAGAAGAUGGGUCUACCCUCGGCACGUAAGCAAGCAAUCCACUCUUAUCAUCUCGUUUGAAAUUACUUGUUUGGAAGUGCUUUUAAAAUGAUUGAAAACGUUUUUGAUGAAAAUAUGUUUGAAACCAAUUUCUAGUAAAAAAUUCAAGUGGAUCAUGAAAUAGCACUUGGUUUGGCAUUGUUGUGCUUUGAAAAAAAACUGUUUUUGCUGUGAUGUGAGAAUAAACAGCUAUGAAAUAAAGCAGCAGAGUGUUUGGUAAACUUUUUCGUAAAAGUGCUUUUGAAAAAAAAAAGCAGUAUUAUUGUGUUUGAUAAACUUUUAUGUGAAAAAAAGCUGGUUUUUCAAAGCUGGGUUUUGCAGCUUUGUGUUUUUUGCUUUUUUUUCACAAAAAACUGUGAAAAAAAGCUGAAGCUGAAUGUUUACCAAUUAUAAAAAAGCUCCCAACUUGAUAGCCACUUUUUUCAGAAUCACCACAGUACCAAAUCAGGGUUAAGUGCCUCAUGCAAAAAACAUAUAUAUGAUAUUUCUUCCAAAAAGUACUUAAAAUGCUGGAACCCAAAAUCAUUCUCAUCAAAAACAUUUUUAAUCAUUUUAAAUACACAAGCUCAAAUUGUUUUUGUUAGAAGUGCUUUUAGUGUAAACAAGUCAAAAUUUUCAUUUAAAGUCUAAGUGCUUUUAGUUGUUCUUCCAGAAAGCACUUUUACGAGCCAAAAACAUCUUUAACAUUUGCUGCCAAAAGAACUCUCAACUGUUUUUGGUUGUUAGAAAGUACUUCUUGCUCUUCCAAAAACAACCCCAAACAAAUUAAAAUAACACCUAUUUAUUAUCUUAAUUACGAAAUGAUGAAUGGCUGCAUGAUGAAUGGAUGGUGCAGUGACGUCAUAGAAGACUGGAUUCGUAUUGGAUCGCCGGCAGCGAAGAAGGUGAAGGCAGAUCACGGUCCUGAUACUCCUUUCCCUGAACUAUGCAGUCGUUGCGAAAAGGUUUGUACCGAUACAUGAAUGCACUUUAUUUACUGGUUAGCACCGUAUUAACUUACUAACUCACUGAAACGAGUGCAGGAGGCGGUGAAUGUAUCGAUCGGAAACCUGCUGAGCUAUCCGUUUGUGAGAGAGGGUUUGCUGAAGAAAACCCUAGCAAUCAAGGGAGGAUACUAUGACUUUAUCAAUGGACAUUUUGAGCUCUGGGAUGUUGAUUUCAGCCUCAACCCCAACUUCUCCGUAUGAUCGUAAUCACAUAAUUCCCAUGCAACUCAAUUGCUUCCUAAUUAAUUAUCAUUAAGUACUUCUAAUUUAUUUCUUAAUUUCAUCUGCAAUGUCCCCGGAAGCACGUCUGCAAAUGUAACCGAUAUUUCGCAGCAAUAAUUAUAAUUUCCUCGAGCUUGUAAUUACCUGGUUUGCAAAUAAGUAAAGGGAAUGGUUUUGCUCACUGCUCUCAAGUGGUGGUGAUGCUUACCAUCUUAUUUAUCACCGUUGGAUUGUGUUUAAAUUUUAAAAUUUGUGUAGUGGAUGAGAUCCACGUUGGCUCCUUUUGUUUUCCUUAAAAUUUUAUUGAAUCGUAAUUACUAUUUUUUUUAUAGUUGAAAUUUGUUUCCGUCGAGAGUACUGCAAUUUUCGUGUUUUGUUUGUUUGUUUUAGGUU